RNAcentral lists this long non-coding RNA (256 nucleotides) under Nicotiana benthamiana. RNAcentral's name for it is "long non-coding RNA (NBEN_LNC027445)". Lineage: Eukaryota; Viridiplantae; Streptophyta; Magnoliopsida; Solanales; Solanaceae. The record is from RNAcentral.
AAUGAUUCACGUCGUGCCGCGACGUUAAAUCAAGCGCUUGUUGGGAGGCAACUCAGCUUUAUUGCUUUCUUUUAUUUAUUUAUUUUUUAAUUGUAUUAUUUUUCAGUGUCAGUUUUUUAUCGUCUUGGAGCAUGGAAAGAAAAUGUAUUGGAAAGAUCCAAUAGCAAACCAAAUGGUUGGAACUAAGUGUGAGGUACCCGCAUGAAGGAUCAAACUUGGGAGAAGUCUGAGUACCCCAUAAGUUGUUAGUGCUUUG